UUCGCCGUGAAAUCCCACGUCUCCUGUUCCCCCAGCAGAACCCGGUCGCCGAAGAACUCACCGUCGGCCAGCACGCCGAGGACGGUCUGGCCGCCGUACUCACCGGCGCCCAGCUGGUUCACCUUGCCGUGCGCGAUGACCACGAGCUGGUCGGCCGCCUGACCCGACUCGACGAUCGCGUCUCCUGGCUCGUACUCGCGCUGGGAGAACCGACCCGCGAGUGCCUCGAGGACGCCGGUGUCGUCGAAUCCGCGCAACAGCGGCAACUCGCACAGCUCUGCCGGAACGACCUGAACCUCGGCACCGGUGUUCGUGGACGUGACCCGCCCGUCCCCGAGGGCGUAGGUCAGUCGGCGGUUCACCCGGUACGCGCCGCCCUUGGCCUCCACCCACGGCAACAGCUUCAACAACCACCGCGACGUGAUGCUCUGCAUCUGCGGCGGGGUUUUCGUCGUCGUCGACAGGUUCCGCGCGGCGGCGGUACCCAAGCUCAGCUGGGCCUCCG
This 505-nucleotide antisense RNA is filed under the name Saccharopolyspora erythraea NRRL 2338. RNAcentral describes it as "Saccharopolyspora sRNA 350". It matches the Rfam family "Saccharopolyspora sRNA 350". Lineage: Bacteria; Bacillati; Actinomycetota; Actinomycetes; Pseudonocardiales; Pseudonocardiaceae. The record is from Rfam by way of RNAcentral.